GGUCCUAUGCAAAGAACGGCUUUCAAACCCCGCCAGAUCCGGAAGGAAGCAACGGUAGAUUGUCCGUUCUUGUGCCGUAGUGUACCUGG
RNAcentral lists this signal recognition particle RNA (89 nucleotides) under chicken gut metagenome. RNAcentral's name for it is "Bacterial small signal recognition particle RNA". It matches the Rfam family "Bacterial small signal recognition particle RNA". From Rfam's summary of the family: The signal recognition particle (SRP) is a universally conserved ribonucleoprotein involved in the co-translational targeting of proteins to membranes. Archaeal SRP consists of a 7S RNA and homologues of the eukaryotic SRP19 and SRP54 proteins. In most bacteria, the SRP consists of a 4.5S RNA and the Ffh protein (a homologue of the eukaryotic SRP54 protein). The record is from RNAcentral.